GUGAAAUUGUUGAAAGGGAAACGAUUGAAGCUAGUCGUACCUGUGGUAAUCAGCCUUUUGGGUGUGAUUAUGUGGAGUGUGAAGAGUUAAACGCCUUUAUGUCUGCAUAUUCGUGCACUUUGGGUGUAUUUACCCGUGUGGUAAGUUAACAUCAAUUUUGGUCGUCAUAGAAUGGCUGGAGGAAUGUAGCUUCGAUCUCGUAUUGAAGUGUUAUAGCCUUCGGUUGAUGUGGUGAUCGGGAUUGAGGAUUGCAACGGAUACCUUUCGGGGCUACCUGUCUGAUCUCUGAUCGUUGCUUUGGUGCUGAAAGCGUGCUUAUAGUUAUCAAAGUCGAUGGUUAAUAGGUUAGAAUGGGUUAAAUUCGUUAAGGAUGUUGACGUAAUGGCUUUAAACGAC
This 396-nucleotide ribosomal RNA is filed under the name uncultured Rhizophagus. RNAcentral's name for it is "partial 28S ribosomal RNA". The record is from RNAcentral. Lineage: Eukaryota; Fungi; Glomeromycota; Glomeromycetes; Glomerales; Glomeraceae.